This 115-nucleotide ribosomal RNA is filed under the name uncultured bacterium. RNAcentral's name for it is "partial 16S ribosomal RNA". It matches the Rfam family "Bacterial small subunit ribosomal RNA", at positions 1360 to 1482 of the family's 1533-position model. The record is from RNAcentral.
CGGUGAAUACGUUCCCGGACCUUGCACACACCGCCCGUCAAGCCAUGGAAGCCGGGUGUACCUAAAGUCGGUAACCGCAAGGACGCCGCCUAGGGUAAAACUGGUGGCUGGGGCU